GUGAGGAAUAUUGGACAAUGGGCGCAAGCCUGAUCCAGCCAUGCCGCGUGCAGGAAGACGCAUCUAUGGUGUGUAAACUGCUUUUGUACGGGAAGAAACACUCCCUCGUGAGGGAGCUUGACGGUACCGUAAGAAUAAGGAUCGGCUAACUCCGUGCCAGCAGCCGCGGUAAUACGGAGGAUCCAAGCGUGAUCCGGAAUCAUUGGGUUUAAAGGGUCCGUAGGCGGUUUAAUAAGUCAGUGGUGAAAGCCCAUCGCUCAACGAUGGAACGGCCAUUGAUACUGUUAGACUUGAAUUACAAGGAAGUAACUAGAAUAUGUAGUGUAGCGGUGAAAUGCUUAGAUAUUACAUGGAAUACCAAUUGCGAAGGCAGGUUACUACUUGUGGAUUGACGCUGAUGGACGAAAGCGUGGGGAGCGAACAGGAUUAGAUACCCGAGUAGUCC
Molecule: ribosomal RNA, 445 nt
Filed under: uncultured bacterium
Lineage: Bacteria
Description: partial 16S ribosomal RNA
Rfam family: Bacterial small subunit ribosomal RNA
Source: RNAcentral